Long non-coding RNA from Diospyros lotus (date-plum), 834 nucleotides. RefSeq lists it as uncharacterized. The record is from RefSeq and is a predicted model, not a curated record. Lineage: Eukaryota; Viridiplantae; Streptophyta; Magnoliopsida; Ericales; Ebenaceae. The transcript has 3 exons.
AAUCCCCAAAUCCCCAGUCAGUGCCUUCCUCUCUUCUGCAAACCCUUCUUUCUCUCUGGCUCGCUCUUGCUGCCUCGUCGUCGCCGUCGCUCGCGGCUCACUGCUGCCCUCGCCCUUGCUCUCGCCUCUCGCAGCUCGCCCUCGCCCUCAUUGAACUUAUUUAUUUCAAUGAGACGUGAAGGUUGCUCUUGGUUAUUUCCGUAACCAUCUCACGCCCAAGUUGCUUGCCGUUCCAAAUAUUGACAAAUUUGCUCAUCUCAUUAGGGAGCAGCGCAAGAAUCCACCAUCUGUUCCAACUUUAGUGGCUGUAAAAUGGGCAAGUUAGCUUAGGCAUGCUGUACUUAUCAUCAAUUGGCAUAAUUUUGGAUAUACUUUAUUUGCAUUGUCUCUUGGAAGAAGUAGUCUUUUGUGGCACUGUACCGUUGGUAUACUUCAAUGCCUUGUUAACAUUUCUUUGGAAUUUUGAAGGGCUUUCUUGUCUGUAUACAUGAAGUGUGAGUUUUUGGACACUGAUGAGCAAUUACAGGCAAUUACUAUAAUUCUUCAUGAGUCAGGGAUUCAAGUGCCUCUUUCGAUUCUAUCUCUUUUCACCCCAAAUCAAGGUUCAAAUGAAUCGCAUGCACAAUCAACUGAAGUGUUGGAGUGAAGACAUUAAAGUAUAUUGUGGUGGUACUUGCAUCGUCAUAUUCGAAUAAGUUUUGUGAAAUUUACUUUUUUAAUUUAGAACUUUUAUUGAAAUACUAAUUAGAUGUUAAUUACUUUUAUAUUUUUUGAUGUGUCAUUGGAAUUUAUUUUUUGUGAUAGAUUUGUUCAUUAUAUAUCAAUUCAUUUGUG